CUAUUUUGGCCUUUUUUUCCAUUUUCCUUUUAUUUUAAGUUGUAAAACUUUAUUGAGAGAUGGUUAGCAGUCAAAUUUCCAACACAAGGACAGCAUGCUUGGCUUCAGUCUGUCUCUGUUUAAAUCUGUGGUUGUCCUUCACCAGCUUCUGGCAUUUUAACAGGCUCUAGAAUUGGUAGAAUCUCCUUCUUGACAUCAGGACCACCUCCAGGCUCAUCCACAGUCUUCAAGAGAACCAGUUUCUACUGAUCAGCUUCCAUAUCAGCCCUUUGAGCUACAGAUGCUCCUUCAUCUUCAAUGUCAUAAGCAGGUAUAAUAUCCUGACUCUCAGUUUGUGGUUCUUCUAGUUGAGGUUGUUUAUCACUGGGCUGCUGAGCAACCAGAGGUCUAACUGGCUGGGAAGACUCUCCAUCAUUUCUUCUUCCUGCAGAUUUGGAUCUUGUUCUGACAUGCCCACUCAUAUUUCCCAACUUAACUCCCAGGAGUAUUGCUAUGAGGAUCUAUUGGCUGAGUUUCAUUCAGCAAGGAAGAAUCCAAAUGGCAGGAACACGAUCUGCCCUGCACAGCUGCUGUUGGUCUUUUUUCUUACCUCUGUAUCUUCUAAGUCUGCACCAUAUGCAUGGGCCUGCCUUUACUGCCGUGUACCACUCCAGACAGCAUGCAGAGUUGGUGGAGAGUAUAACAAACAUCAGAGAUAUUUUGCAAUUCAUGGCUGACCCAUGCUGAUCCUUUCUUUAAUUAAACCUUCCACUUGUGAAUGAAUCAUUUCUUCCAUUAAUUAAAACAGGAUACACUUAUGUCUCUGUAAAGUAUGUGUCAAAAGAAAGCAUUCCACCUAAAAUAUAUACAGGAGGCGCUGACCACCGCGGAGAGUCAUCCAUCAUAGUCUGCUAAAAAGAUCAGCUCUGGAAUUAGAACGAGCACAAUCAUCUCUUAUGCCCUCCAAAAUACAGGUUGCAGCUUCUCACCCGAUCUGUCAGCUCCUGUGCUAAUAUAGGGAGUAAAGCAUAGUGUGAAGCCGCAAGAGGACCGUUUAUUUUGUAGGGCAGGGCAGGCGGCCCCAGCGCUCCGGUAAUGCCAUCAUCUCUAAUAACUGCUUGGAGCCUGUGCUCUCUGGAGACUUGUCUCUUGAUUGUUAGAGCUGGAAGGCAGCGGAAUCUCACUGUUGGCGAGGCUCAACAAUUGCUCCUGCGGUUCCUCCGAAAGCCAAGAGGAUGACUGAGAAAUCUGACGGCGCUGUUUAGGUGGACAAAGCAAGUUCGUGUUCCCACUCACCCCCACCGUCUCCUUCUGGAAGAAGUGGGCUGCAGAAAUCGAUUUGCAGUCUUUAGCUCCAGGAAACAGUGAGCCCAUGCAGCCACUGUUCAAAAUAUUUUGCCUCAGAGGAAACUCUGCCCUCUCCAAACUCCAAAGACCUCGAUGAAGUACAUAACCAUGUUUAAAAAUCACCACUGGGGAUUCUCCAGGCAAGAUGAAAAGGAAAGAAGGAUAAAGCACUGAGAAACUCAAAGUGCCUCAGGUCCUCUAAAAACAAGUUUUAAAUAUCCCGCAAGAUUUCAAAUGCAGCAAUUUUUGAGAAAGCGCGACAUUGUAAAGCCUGUUCUCUCGGUGAAGUGUCAGGCUCCAUAGGAGUAGGAAUGAUAAACACUCUUCCUGCAUAUUUAGGAGGCUGUUUCAGAAGACGCCAAGUGAUUGCUAAAACAGUCGUGCAAUUUAGUGUGUUUUAGUACCACAAUUUUCUGUCCAAUACUAACUGCUCUUUUAUUUUUCCUUCAAUUAAUCCUGUAAGGCGGGUGCAAAAAUGUAGGAAUGAUAAGGACAUUUGCCAUCAUUGGGGCUAUUUCCAAUGGUGAAAGGAAGGACUGGAAAGGUGAAGUGACUUGUCCAAGGCCAAGGGCAGGUUCAUGGCAGAGCCAGGGCUCCCAACUAUGUCUCCUCUCUCACAGUCCUGGGCUCUUUCCCCUGUGUUUCUAAUGAGGACUGAGUCAAGGGUGAUUUAUUCCCCCAGCACAGUGCUAGGUACAGUGCCUGUGGAUUGAUUAAUGCAUUGAUUCCCACAGAAUAAGAGAUUUGAGAUUACUUGACAAAUCUCUCAAGUACUCAGGAAAAAAAAAAUCAAUAGUUUUUCUUUGACUUCAAGUCCAAAUUAUUCGUAGUAUUUCAGAGGUACUCUCCUCCUGCCUUCAAUACUUCUCCGAUACUCACUGGCUUGUCUCCUGGGUCAAGAUAUAUCAGACUGAAAAGAGGAGGUAUAUGAGAGAUAUAACAAUUAGUGGAAAUGGACCAUAACACUGGAGAAUUAAUUGUUCACAUGGUAUAGAGUAGUGAUUAAGAACAUUGACUCUGGAGUCAAGUUGCCCUGGGUUCAAAUGCUAGCUUUGACAUUUAGAAGAUGUGUAGUCUAAGAUCACUGAUUGCGGGCUUUUUAAAUCCCGGGGCCUCAGUUUUCUCCUCUGUAAAAUGGAAAUUUUAGUACCUACUUUACAGGCUUGACUCAAGGAUAAAUUUUAAAAUCUGGCUCCCUUUAUAUGUGUGAUUUAAUGACAUAUUCAAACAGUAACAUUAGAACAAGAGCUAUGAAAAAAUUAGACCAUUAAACUUGCUUUAUAUUGAUUGAAGCCCUAAUACUAGGUCGUUUUUGAGAGAAGA
Molecule: long non-coding RNA, 2649 nt
Filed under: Monodon monoceros (narwhal)
Lineage: Eukaryota; Metazoa; Chordata; Mammalia; Artiodactyla; Monodontidae
Description: lncRNA (ENSMMNG00015022093.1)
Source: RNAcentral